GAAUCUAGCUUCAGGUUUGGGACAACCACUGGAAACGGUGGCUAAUUCCGAAUGUGCCGAGAGGUGAAAGGCUUGCUGCCUGAAGAUGAGCUCGCGUCUGAUUAGCUAGUAGGUGGGGUAAGAGCCUACCUAGGCGACGAUCAGUAGCUGGUCUGAGAGGAUGAUCAGCCACACUGGGACUGAGACACGGCCCAGACUCCUACGGGAGGCAGCAGUGGGGAAUUUUCCGCAAUGGGCGAAAGCCUGACGGAGCAAUACCGCGUGAGGGAGGAAGGCUCUUGGGUUGUAAACCUCUUUUCUCAGGGAAGAAGACAAUGACGGUACCUGAGGAAUCAGCAUCGGCUAACUCCGUGCCAGCAGCCGCGGUAAUACGGAGGAUGCAAGCGUUAUCCGGAAUGAUUGGGCGUAAAGCGUCCGCAGGUGGCUGUGUAAGUCUGCUGUCAAAGAGCGAAGCUCAACUUCGUAAAGGCAGUGGAAACUACACGGCUAGAGUGCGUUCGGGGCAGAGGGAAUUCCUGGUGUAGCGGUGAAAUGCGUAGAGAUCAGGAAGAACACCGGUGGCGAAGGCGCUCUGCUAGGCCGCAACU
Molecule: ribosomal RNA, 587 nt
Filed under: Nostoc sp. MZ80.8SOIL
Lineage: Bacteria; Bacillati; Cyanobacteriota; Cyanophyceae; Nostocales; Nostocaceae
Description: bacterial SSU rRNA
Rfam family: Bacterial small subunit ribosomal RNA
Source: RNAcentral